Molecule: non-coding RNA, 2628 nt
Organism: Prunus mume (Japanese apricot)
Lineage: Eukaryota; Viridiplantae; Streptophyta; Magnoliopsida; Rosales; Rosaceae
Source: RefSeq, a predicted model, not a curated record
CAAGUAGUGAGAAGGGAGACAAAUUAAAGCUGUUUCCCCGUCUUGUUGUUGGACUCUACUCCAAAGGUGGAUAAUGGAUUUGAUAAUUGAGAGCAAUUUGCAGACGACAAAAACAAAUAUCUUUAGGCAUAUUCUGCUCUGUUCUCUUAUUAUGCAACUGGUUGGUCCCAUGAGUCCUAGUCUCUCGCACUCUGUACACCGCUAAUGAAUCUUGAGGUUCUGGGCAUUUCAAACCCCUCAACCAUGAGUUCAGUGACCUUUUGCAAACUGGAAAGUACAACUACACCCUCUGGCUUAAUUGCUUAAAAACCACCACAAAGUGCAAGUGCAGCUCCUUCCUCAUCAUUUUCAGAAGAAGAAAGAACACACUCACUGCAGCUUGUGGCUGGAACAUAACAUCACCAAUAAUUAAUAAUGGCAACUGUCACUGCUUCAAGCUUUGCCUCAACAAGUUCCCAUGUCAGCUAUGGCGCUGUAUCUUCUGUAUCAGAGCCUAAAACGGGAUAUAAGAAAAUGGGUUUUGGAAAACAGGCCAUGACUCACAAUGGGUUAAGAGCUUUGAACACAGUGGACGAGCUCCGCGUCAAAAUCAUGGGAAAUUCAAUUGCAAGGCAAGCAAGGAGCAAAUCUUUCAACAGUACUAGGACUGGUUCAAGACCGGCAGGAACCAUUGUUUGUGGAAGUGGGAUGAAUUUAGUGUUUCUGGGAACAGAAGUUGGCCCAUGGAGCAAAACUGGUGGACUUGGAGACGUUCUUGGAGGCCUGCCACCAGCUAUGGCAGCAAAUGGCCAUCGAGUGAUGACUGUUUCUCCGAGAUACGACCAGUACAAAGAUGCAUGGGAUACAGAAGUUACAAUUGAGGUUAAGGUGGGAGCAAAAACUGAAAAGGUUCGCUUCUUUCAUUGCUACAAAAGAGGAGUUGAUCGUGUGUUUGUGGAUCACCCACUGUUUCUUGAGAAGGUUUGGGGAAAAACUGCAUCCAAAAUCUACGGACCCAUUACUGGAGAGGAUUUCAAGGACAACCAACUUAGAUUCAGCCUGCUAUGCCAGGCAGCUCUAGAAGCACCAAGAGUUCUGAACCUUAACAGCAGCAAAUAUUUUUCGGGACCAUAUGGAGAAGAAGUCGUUUUCAUUGCCAACGAUUGGCACACUGCCCUCCUCCCAUGCUACCUGAAAGCCAUAUACCAAUCUAAAGGCAUAUACAAGAGUGCUAAAGUAGCCUUUUGCAUUCACAACAUUGCUUAUCAAGGCAGAUUCGCAUUCGCAGACUUCGCACUUCUCAAUCUGCCAGAUGAAUUCAAAAGCUCCUUUGAUUUCAUUGAUGGCUAUGACAAGCCAGUGAAGGGGAGGAAAAUUAACUGGAUGAAAGCUGGAAUUUAAGAAUCAGACAAGGUCUUGACUGUUAGCCCAUACUAUGCUGAAGAACUAGUUUCUACAGUUGAAAAAGGAGUCGAAUUGGACAACAUUAUUCGGAAAGCUGGAAUUCUUGGAAUUGUGAAUGGCAUGGACGUCCAGGAGUGGAAUCCAUUGACUGACAAGUAUACAGCUGCCAAAUAUGAUGCUUCAACUGUGACAGAUGCAAAGCCUCUGUUGAAAGAAGCCCUCCAAGCAGAAGUGGGAUUGCCAGUGGACAGUGACAUCCCUGUCAUAGGUUUCAUUGGUAGGCUUGAAGAGCAGAAAGGUUCAGAUAUUCUGAUAGAAGCCAUUCCCCAUUUUAUCAAAGAGAAUGUUCAGAUCAUAGUCCUCGGGACUGGCAAAAAGCCGAUGGAGAAGCAGCUUGAACAGUUGGAGAUAAAAUACCCUGACAAAGCCCGGGGAGUAGCAAAGUUCAAUGUUCCUCUGGCCCAUAUGAUAACAGCCGGAGCUGAUUUUAUGUUGGUUCCGAGCAGAUUUGAGCCUUGCGGUCUCAUUCAGUUGCAUGCCAUGCGUUACGGAACUGUGCCAAUUGUUGCCUCAACUGGUGGGUUGGUAGACACCGUUAAAGAAGGAUUCACUGGAUUUCAAAUGGGAGGUUUCAAUGUGGAAUGUGAAGUUGUUGAUCCUGCGGAUGUACAAGCGAUUGCAACUACUGUCACAAGAGCCCUUGGAACUUAUGGAACCCCAGCUUUUACUGAGAUCAUAGGCAACUGCAUGGCUCAAGAUUUAUCAUGGAAGGGGCCUGCCAAGAAGUGGGAGGAAGUGCUGCUAAAUUUGGGUGUUGCUGACAGCGAACCAGGGAUCGAUGGUGAGGAAAUUGCACCACUCGCCAAGGAAAACAUCGCAACGCCAUGAAAGACGCAAGUUCAACCUGCAGUUGAUCAGUUUUGUGAACUAACAUAAAAGAAAUUUCUGCACACCCAAAACAGACCGCCUUGCGUGCAUCAUAUGAAUGUAAAAAUUCUCGACCAAAAUAAGUGAAACCUUCUGUGCAAUCUUGUUCAUAGGCCAAUUGUGAAGACCUUUGGUGAUGGUUGAUUAAAAAAAACGAGCGGCCUGGUAGGGCAAAUGAAAUCAAUAGAAGAUUGAUAAGCGCUUGUGCCAUUUUCUUUUCUUCCAAUGAUGAUAAAAUCCUGCCCAUGUAACCAAACUCUCAUUUUAAAAUGAGCAAAAUGAAAGUAGCAUCCACACCACUCACCCCAACAACCCUUC